RNAcentral lists this ribosomal RNA (497 nucleotides) under uncultured bacterium. Its description in RNAcentral is "partial 16S ribosomal RNA". It matches the Rfam family "Bacterial small subunit ribosomal RNA", at positions 34 to 507 of the family's 1533-position model. The record is from RNAcentral.
UCUGCCCGCUGGCGGCGUGCCUAAUACAUGCAAGUCGAGCGAACGGACGAGAAGCUUGCUUCUCUGAUGUUAGCGGCGGACGGGUGAGUAACAAGUGGAUAACCUACCUAUAAGACUGGGAUAAAUUCGGGAAAACGGAGCUAAUACCGGAUAAUAUUUUGAACCGCAUGGUUCAAAAGUGAAAGACGGUCUUGCUGUCACUUAUAGAUGGAUCCGCGCUGCAUUAGCUAGUUGGUAAGGUAACGGCUUACCAAGGCAACGAUGCAUAGCCGACCUGAGAGGGUGAUCGGCCACACUGGAACUGAGACACGGUCCAGACUCCUACGGGAGGCAGCAGUAGGGAAUCUUCCGCAAUGGGCGAAAGCCUGACGGAGCAACGCCGCGUGAGUGAUGAAGGUCUUCGGAUCGUAAAACUCUGUUAUUAGGGAAGAACAUAUGUGUAAGUAACUGUGCACAUCUUGACGGUACCUAAUCAGAAAGCCACGGCUAACUACGUG